Dermacentor albipictus is the source of this 857-nucleotide long non-coding RNA. RefSeq lists it as uncharacterized. The record is from RefSeq and is a predicted model, not a curated record. Lineage: Eukaryota; Metazoa; Arthropoda; Arachnida; Ixodida; Ixodidae.
CAGACGAAACGGGCGCAGCAGCGACGUACUACGUGCGGCUUAUGUGGAUGAAAGCAAAGCUAUGAGAAGGUGGCUCUGCACUGGCUACAUCACGAAAUGCUGCGUUUUAGGAUACAGGAACCGUAGCGACACGGUUGGUUCGUCUGUUUCAUUACAUCGAUUUCCGAAGAAUGCUCGCCAGAGGGAACUUUGGAUUAAGGUCGUCCAAAAGGCUGGUGUCCGUCCAAAUGGAGUGUCAUGUGCCGCCUGCACUUUACCCCUGGGGGACUCAGGCAAACGAAAGCAGGGAUACGGAAGCUUGGCAAAUAUGCCAUGCCAAGACUGUCUGACGGCGAGUUCCAGAGGCAGAAUCGGGAGGAAGCAGCUGAUGCAGCUGACUCUUUUGAUGUUGAUGCCACAAGUGCAACUCCUUCUGCAAAUGAACGGCUCAUGCCUCGCCAGCCUAUAAGAGCCACUGGAUGCAGAAAUGGAAGAGACUGCACCAAAUGUACAGGGAAAUGCUGAAGGUCCUUUCACAGGCCUAAACAAAGCAGAAACGGACACUUCUGCCACUGCUAUACUGUCGGUCCAAACCAGGACCAAGACAGGAGUGGUAACAAUAUAUCACCAUACAGCAAGCAGUGAACGGAACAAUAGAAUACAGCAAUAUAUGCCCUAUCAUUAAAAAUAUUCGGACAAAAGUUCGGAAAACUGGUCGUGGGUCCCUGCGUUUACGUUUGCAGGGCGACAAUUCCAGUCACGUGCUGUCGAAAGGAAGAAUGAGUAUUUGUAGCAAUGCUUAUGAAAUCGAUUUUCCUUAACGUGUCUGCUAUGUUUAUUUCGCACCAUGUGGGUCUUAGAUUCAUUUAUGUAGCGAU